GGCUUUAAUAGUCAUUCAUUAUAUUAAUGUGUACACCUGAUUAAUACAGCAUAUUUACUGUAAAUUUUUUUAAUGAUUGGUUUUGCUGAUUGCAUAUUAAAUGACCUAAAUCCUGGCAUUUUUGGUAUAAUAAUAAUAAUAAUAAUAAUAAUAAUAAUAAUAAUAAUAAUAAUAAUGUAUAGAUUUCUUUUCUAUAGAAAAUGAUCUUUAAGGAAUCAAGUCUGGGUUGUCCUUAUUUGAAUCUUCAUUAGGGUUUGUGAACAGUGCACUGCGCCCCCUAGAGGCACCGUGGAGCAGCGCAGCAUCUCGCACAAAAGAUUUGGAUUAAUUUGCUUACUGCGCAAACAUUUCAGUAUGGCUCCUGCGUUUCCGGUUCACUCGAAACGAUUGUAUUUUACAGUCGUUGUCUGCAGAAGCUCCCGAGAGUUUGGAGUGUAGCUGUGGAGAAAUUGCCCAUUCAGCCACCAGAGCAUUAAUGAGGUCAGGCACUGAUACUGGCUUUUUGGGAGCAUUUUGAGGAUGACCCCUUCAUGUUCAAACAUCACUGCACACCAGUGCACAAAGCAAGGUCCAUAAAGACAUGGAUGAGAGAGUUUGGUGUGGAGGAACUUCACAGAGUCCUGACCUCAACCUGAUAGAACACCUUUGGGAUGAAUUAGAGCGGAGACUGCAAACCAGGCCUUCUCGUCCAACAUCAGCGCCUGACCUCACAAAUGUGCUUCAAGAGGAAUGGUCAAAAAUUCCCAUAAACACACUGCUAAACCUUGUGGAAAGGCUUCCCAGAAGAGUUGAAGCUGUUAUAGCUGCAAAGGGCGGGGAAACCCCAUAUUACAUUCAUGUGCAUGUAAAGGCAGAUGUCCCAAGACUUUUGGCAAUAUAGUGUAGUUUCUUGUAAAACAGUAUUAACAAGAGCAGAGCAUGUGUUAAGCAUAGUGAUGUACUUCGGUAUAGCUGUGUUAAAUAAAUAUCCUAAAUAAUAAAUCGCUACAGAAUGUAAAGUCUUCUACAUGAAUGUCAGCCAAUAAUUGUACCAAAAAUGCUGGACAAAAAUAUAAUGCUUAUUAUUGGCACCCCGUCCGGGGUGUCUCCUGCCCUGUGCCCCGAGUCCUCUGGGAUAGACUUCAGGUUCUCUUUGUUGGAUAAGUGAUACAGAACAUAGAUGGUGGAUGGAUUAUACUCAUCAAAGCUGAAAUUAAAGUAGUGUGUGACCCAAAGAAAUAUGUAAGAGGUUUACCACAAGUGUAAACCCACUUCCACAUCAUUACUAAACCCUGUGAAGCAGUCAUUCUGAAACUGAUAGUGCAGCGUGGUUUUGAAUGUUUGUUUCAACGUUA
Long non-coding RNA from Hemibagrus wyckioides, 1334 nucleotides. RefSeq lists it as uncharacterized. NCBI's taxonomy places the organism in Eukaryota, Metazoa, Chordata, Actinopteri, Siluriformes, Bagridae. The record is from RefSeq and is a predicted model, not a curated record. The transcript is spliced from 3 exons.